Molecule: transfer RNA, 84 nt
Filed under: Caudoviricetes sp.
Lineage: Duplodnaviria; Heunggongvirae; Uroviricota; Caudoviricetes
Description: tRNA-Tyr
Rfam family: tRNA
About the family: Transfer RNA (tRNA) molecules are approximately 80 nucleotides in length. Their secondary structure includes four short double-helical elements and three loops (D, anti-codon, and T loops).
Source: RNAcentral
GGGUAAUUAAACAACUACGGAGAUUGGCGAGACUGUAAAUCUCGUGGCUUUUGCAUCGAGUGGGUUCGACUCCCUCAUUACCCA